CGUUUCUUUGCUGGCGACCGGCGCACGGUGAGUAACACGUAUCCAACCUGCCCUUUACUCGGGGAUAGCCUUUCGAAAGAAAGAUUAAUACCCGAUAGCAUAAUGAUUCCGCAUGGUUUCAUUAUUAAAGGAUUCCGGUAAAGGAUGGGGAUGCGUUCCAUUAGGUUGUUGGUGAGGUAACGGCUCACCAAGCCUUCGAUGGAUAGGGGUUCUGAGAGGAAGGUCCCCCACAUUGGAACUGAGACACGGUCCAA
RNAcentral lists this ribosomal RNA (254 nucleotides) under uncultured bacterium. RNAcentral describes it as "partial 16S ribosomal RNA". It matches the Rfam family "Bacterial small subunit ribosomal RNA", at positions 78 to 334 of the family's 1533-position model. The record is from RNAcentral.